This is a small nuclear RNA of Amazona collaria (yellow-billed parrot), 129 nucleotides long. Its record names the gene U1. It matches the Rfam family "U1 spliceosomal RNA". Rfam says of the family: U1 is a small nuclear RNA (snRNA) component of the spliceosome (involved in pre-mRNA splicing). The record is from Ensembl. Lineage: Eukaryota; Metazoa; Chordata; Aves; Psittaciformes; Psittacidae.
AUUAUUACUGGUGGUUUUCCCAGGGUGAGGCUCAUCCCUUGCACUCCGGGUGUGCUGAUCCCUGUGGCUUCCCCAAAUAUGGGAAACUUGACUGCAUAAUUUGUGGUAGUGAAGGAUAAUGGAAUCCAG